Molecule: ribosomal RNA, 755 nt
Filed under: uncultured microorganism
Description: SSU rRNA
Rfam family: Bacterial small subunit ribosomal RNA
Source: RNAcentral
AUUAACACCUCAUGGUAUCAUUAAUUGGCAUCGAUUGAUGAUUAAAGGUUACGGGAAGAGGUGGCUAUGCGUCCUAUUAGCUAGUAGGUAUGGUAACGGCAUACCUAGGCGACGAUAGGUAGGGGCCCUGAGAGGGGGAUCCCCCACACUGGUACUGAGACACGGACCAGACUCCUACGGGAGGCAGCAGUGAGGAAUAUUGGUCAAUGGACGGAAGUCUGAACCAGCCAUGCCGCGUGCAGGAAGACUGCCCUAUGGGUUGUAAACUGCUUUUAUAUAGGAAGAAACCCAGAUACGUGUAUUUGGCUGACGGUACUAUAAGAAUAAGCAUCGGCUAACUCCGUGCCAGCAGCCGCGGUAAUACGGAGGAUGCAAGCGUUAUCCGGAAUCAUUGGGUUUAAAGGGUCCGUAGGUGGAUUAAUAAGUCAGAGGUGAAAUCCUGCAGCUCAACUGUAGAACUGCCUUUGAUACUGUUAAUCUUGAGUCAUUAUGAAGUGGUUAGAAUGAGUAGUGUAGCGGUGAAAUGCAUAGAUAUUACUCAGAAUACCGAUUGCGAAGGCAGAUCACUAAUAAUGUACUGACACUGAGGGACGAAAGCGUGGGGAGCGAACAGGAUUAGAUACCCUGGUAGUCCACGCUGUAAACGAUGGUCACUAGCUGUUGGGUUUUCGGACUCAGUGGCUAAGCGAAAGUGAUAAGUGACCCACCUGGGGAGUACGUUCGCAAGAAUGAAACUCAAAGGAAUUGACGGGGGG